This 570-nucleotide ribosomal RNA is filed under the name uncultured bacterium. RNAcentral describes it as "partial 16S ribosomal RNA". It matches the Rfam family "Bacterial small subunit ribosomal RNA", at positions 355 to 914 of the family's 1533-position model. The record is from RNAcentral.
UAGGGAAUCUUCGGCAAUGGGGGCAACCCUGACCGAGCAACGCCGCGUGAGUGAAGAAGGUUUUCGGAUCGUAAAGCUCUGUUGUAAGUCAAGAACGGGUGUGAGAGUGGAAAGUUCACACUGUGACGGUAGCUUACCAGAAAGGGAUGGCUAACUACGUGCCAGCAGCCGCGGUAAUACGUAGGUCCCGAGCGUUGUCCGGAUUUAUUGGGCGUAAAGCGAGCGCAGGCGGUUUGAUAAGUCUGAAGUUAAAGGCUGUGGCUCAACCAUAGUUCGCUUUGGAAACUGUCAAACUUGAGUGCAGAAGGGGAGAGUGGAAUUCCAUGUGUAGCGGUGAAAUGCGUAGAUAUAUGGAGGAACACCGGUGGCGAAAGCGGCUCUCUGGUCUGUAACUGACGCUGAGGCUCGAAAGCGUGGGGAGCGAACAGGAUUAGAUACCCUGGUAGUCCACGCCGUAAACGAUGAGUGCUAGGUGUUGGAUCCUUUCCGGGAUUCAGUGCCGCAGCUAACGCAUUAAGCACUCCGCCUGGGGGAGUACGACCGCAAGGUUGAAACUCUAAGUGAAUUGAC